UAGGGAAUCUUCGGCAAUGGGGGGAACCCUGACCGAGCAACGCCGCGUGAGUGAAGAAGGUUUUCGGAUCGUAAAGCUCUGUUGUUAAGGAAGAACGAGUGUGAGAAUGGAAAGUUCAUACUGUGACGGUACUUAACCAGAAAGGGACGGCUAACUACGUGCCAGCAGCCGCGGUAAUAUGUAGGUCCCGAGCGUUGUCCGGAUUUAUUGGGCGUAAAGCGAGCGCAGGCGGUCAAUUAAGUCUGAUGUGAAAGCCCCCGGCUCAACCGUGGAGGGUCAUUGGAAACUGGAAAACGUGAGUGCAGAAGAGGAAAGUGGAAUUCCAUGUGUAGCGAUGAAAUGCGCAGAGAUAUGGAGGAACACCAGUGGCGAAGGCGACUUUCUGGUCUGUAACUGACGCUGAUGUGCAAAAGCGUGGGGAUCAAACAGG
This 430-nucleotide ribosomal RNA is filed under the name Bacteroidota bacterium. RNAcentral's name for it is "Bacteroidetes bacterium partial 16S ribosomal RNA". It matches the Rfam family "Bacterial small subunit ribosomal RNA", at positions 355 to 776 of the family's 1533-position model. The record is from RNAcentral. Lineage: Bacteria; Pseudomonadati; Bacteroidota.